RNAcentral lists this ribosomal RNA (433 nucleotides) under uncultured bacterium. Its description in RNAcentral is "partial 16S ribosomal RNA". It matches the Rfam family "Bacterial small subunit ribosomal RNA", at positions 29 to 507 of the family's 1533-position model. The record is from RNAcentral.
AACGAACGCUGGCGGCAUGCCUAAUACAUGCAAGUCGAACGAGAUCUUCGGAUCUAGUGGCGCACGGGUGCGUAACGCGUGGGAAUCUGCCCUUGGGUUCGGAAUAACUUCUGGAAACGGAAGCUAAUACCGGAUGAUGACGUAAGUCCAAAGAUUUAUCGCCCAAGGAUGAGCCCGCGUAGGAUUAGGUAGUUGGUGAGGUAAAGGCUCACCAAGCCGACGAUCCUUAGCUGGUCUGAGAGGAUGAUCAGCCACACUGGGACUGAGACACGGCCCAGACUCCUACGGGAGGCAGCAGUAGGGAAUAUUGGACAAGGGGCGAAAGCCUGAUCCAGCAAUGCCGCGUGAGUGAUGAAGGCCUUAGGGUUGUAAAGCUCUUUUACCCGGGAUGAUAAUGACAGUACCGGGAGAAUAAGCUCCGGCUAACUCCGUG